RNAcentral lists this long non-coding RNA (956 nucleotides) under Sorghum bicolor (sorghum). RNAcentral describes it as "long non-coding RNA (SBIC_LNC006115)". Lineage: Eukaryota; Viridiplantae; Streptophyta; Magnoliopsida; Poales; Poaceae. The record is from RNAcentral.
UUUUGCAAAACACUCCCUAAAAUGCGGAGAGCCCCCGUAGCCAGACCCUAACCCUCCGACCCUAUCUACUCGGCCUCUCUCCCUCCUUACUCCUUACUACCACCGUCGUCGCCGCUGCUGCCGGCAUAUCCUCUCCUCCGCACGCCACCUACGUGCCUCUCCCCACCUUGCCCUCUCCUCCCCGCCGCCUCCAUUCCAGAAUGAGCAGACCUCCUCCGUGUGAUGACUCCACGAGGGACCGGGGGAAAUCGAGGAGGAGGAGACAUCCAUGGAUACCAUGUGCGGAGGACUUAAGGAGGGUUCGUACUCCCGAAGAUCUCCACGCACUAUCCGGAUCUGGGCACCCAACGAACAAGUCAAUCCUCGACAACCGUCGAUCCGACUGGAUCGAUUGCCCAAUGGUGGCGACCGAGAAAAGGUAUGACCAACAGCUCCCUUUACUCUUCUCCUUUCUUUGUUAUUACCAUUAUUAUUUCUACCUCUUCCGUUGGAUCCAUCCACUUAUGUGUGAGCUUGCUCUCCCAGGUCUGAGCCAUGAGCUCCUUGUUCGAGUAUACAUAGCAAGGGGACCUUGGGAGCUGUAGAUCUGUGACUGUAAUGGAUUAGGAGUUUGACUGGGCUACCUGCUCCCCAUCAAUUUAAUGCCUAUGUGAGCUCUCUGUUACUUAGCUUAAUGAUGUCCAUCUCUAGAAAAUUCAGAAACAAAAACUGAAACAGAAGAAUCACAUCUUUAUCACGGGACGCAGAAAACGGCUUCGAGUCCUCUUUCGCCUGGCCAAAAGGCAAAAGCGCUCCUCCAUCCGAGCAUAUUUCGUGUGGCAGUGUGGCUCCGUCCGCUCUCGUGUUGGAGCCACAACCAGAACCGUAUCAAAAGCUUUUAGGCGUUGUUUAGUUUUGCGAAAUUUUUUGAAUUUGGCUAUUGUAACAUUUUUAUUUGUAUUUGAUAAUUAUUGUCC